Molecule: long non-coding RNA, 4278 nt
Organism: Dromaius novaehollandiae (emu)
Lineage: Eukaryota; Metazoa; Chordata; Aves; Casuariiformes; Dromaiidae
Exons: 11
Source: RefSeq, a predicted model, not a curated record
GAACGGAGAUGACGCUGGGCUGUGGGGAGCAAAAGCAGACGUCGAGGAAGGGGAGAUUUGGGGCAUAUGCAUGUGAGCUGUGAGUAUCAUCAUACAGAAAACGGAAGGAAGCAAAUGGCAGGUCUGGAGGAAGCGGGUGACACGUUCUAAGAGGUGAAGAGACUCCUGUGGAGAACAAAGCUGAUCAGCGUGGAAGCUGUCUGGACUAGGUUAUCUCUGCAUCUGUCUCAGUUGUAAUGCUGUUGUCAGCAAGCACAAGCGGGAACAGUGUGCAGAUUGUUUUAAUUUGCGCUGGGGGACUGCAUUUGGCUCUAUGAAUGAGGACGCAUCUUUGAACGUUCCCUGCCUCUACUGAGCUCAGUGCUCCUGGUUUGCAGUUCUACAAUAUGAGUAUGCACUUAGCCAGCAGGAUCUGAGCUGGGCCUACAAGGCAAUCUUUGUGGACUCUGCUGUUCCCAUGUUGCAGGGUGUGGGCUUGGCUGUGACCGAGAUCCUGAGCAGACCCCGAAUGAGCAUGCUAAAGGGCAACGCAAAACCCAGAGACAUCAUUUUUUAUUGUAUGAGCAAAAGCUUUUGGCUGCCGGAGAAGAGUUCUCCUCUGUUGCAUAUGGAACUGCUGCAAAGUAUUUGCCAAUGCCUUGACGUUCUUCCACCCGAAAGGGAAUUAAUCACUGAGAGGGCAUGAAGAGCACAGCACAGAAAGCAGGCAUGGUCCAAAACUCAAGGGACUAAUUAUGCUCUUAAACGUGAAUGAAAAUGUAUCAUCACAACACCGAAUUAAGGAUCAAGAAAAAUACUGUUGGCAAGAAGCUGUAUACACUGAAGGUAUUCAAGACUGAUGGACAAGAACCUCUUGCAUCCAUACCUGUGGCAAAAGAAAAAGGAGUAUGUUAUGUGGGAUCCAGCUACACAUAGAUCAUCAAGAACCUCCUCAGCAGGUCUUUGACACGCAUGAUUUUGAAAUGCAGUCUGUACCACUGCAGUUACUACAAUUGGAACAGUAGUGGGUUCUUGCCAGUUGCUGUAGUCUCACAUGAAAAAGCUCACGUUAAGUACUUGGAGAGAACUCAACCACAUACCUUCUUCAGCUGAAAAAACUGUGGUGACCGAACUGAAUGGCCCUUCUCCUUUAUUGUUAUAUACACCAACUUUGACUUCAUAUGGUGAAAAUGGUCAUAGCAUGUGCUUGAUCUUCUGAAUCAAAGUAAAUGUACAGAUAACUUGAAUGAUAAGUAUAAUUUAAUAAUACACAUGAAAUGUUUUGUCUCUCUAUAUAAUUUGUUUUCUACACUACCUUAAUGGAGAACUUGAUCCUAGACCUUUGGUAGACUGUGUCACUUUAAAAUCUGAGAGAUUUUUCACCUGGAAAAUGUGAUGUGAAGUGUAUUAAAGCAGUUACUAUUCAGCUGACACAAAGAGAAGAUUUUGAUCUCAGUCACGCUGGGGAAGUAGAGUUGAUGGUCUGAUAUCCACAGGACUAUGGUGGUGGAUUCAUACACUCAGCAAAAACUUGGUUGCUUUGGCUCAGCGUGACUAUACCUGGGUAUCCUGCUACUUGAGCAAAAGUUUUAAUAGAUCAUUUGUGGUAUGCUUUGCUGGCAGAAAUGUUCUCUUUGAAAAGGCAACUUCACCUACGAGAGACAACAGAGUUUGCUGGGAACUGCUACCAUGCAGCAUGGUGCUGGAGUGGUCAUUUUCUGUGUUUCUGGUCUAUCUUAUUCACUAGAACAGUGAAUAGUUCAGGUAAGGAUCACCUCCUUUAAUGUCAUUGCUUAUUUUAUAUGACAUCACUGGUAGGGAACAGAGUCAAUUAAGUCUGGCAAGACUUUCCAAAGAACUUUCUAGCUUAACACCUGCUCAUUCUUUCCAUUUCAUGAUUCAGUUUGCUUCAGGCUGUUUUUCUGCACAUCUAGAAGACUUUUCCUUUACAGAAACCCCCUAACUUUCCAGGCAUGUUGCAAAGUUCAUUUUCCAGAGAAGUAGGAAUUCAUUUGAAGACAGAAUCCUAUUCAGUGGACAUUUUCAGCUACACUGGGCACAUGAUUGAUUCUUUGACACACAAUAGUUUGGGAGAAGAGGAAAGAAAUGACUCUGGGAUUUUAAUCUUAUUUAAAAAAAAAAACAACUUUUCCAACUCUUUGGUUAUUUGUGUUCACGCCUAUUAUUCUGUUUUGAUCCUUACAUUUCAAGAAUCAUUUGUUUUCACAGAGACUGCCAUUAUUUCAAAUAAAUCUCUAACACAAAAAGCAAAUAAGCUCAGUCAUUUUGUCACAAACUUGUUUUAGAGCUUUAGUCUAGUCCACUGAUGUCAAUGGGAGCUUUGACGUUUAUAGUUAAAAUUGCAGGACUAGCACUGUCACGUCUCACUUUUUUAUUCAGCACAAGCUCAAGACAAUUCUGACUGCUCCCUUCCACAUGUGACAAUAUGAAUACAAUGCCUCAUCUUCUAUUACAACGUAGAUGCUAGCAUUUACAGGACAAUCCAGCACUGAUAGCCUACUCUACAUUAAAAGUUAAGUCAAAGGCAAUCUAAAAUCCAGCUAUCUGCUUGGAAAUGGGAAUGCAAGAAAUUAACAACAGCAAUGUAUACUCACAGGCAAAUCAUGUUCGACAUGAACUUAUUUUAGCAAAUGACAUUUAAAACAUCUAGACAAUAGGGAAUCAUCAAAUAGAAUAAUUUUACUUGAAAUAGAAACCUGCCUCCCCUUGGCCUGACACGUUUGAAUGGGCUAGACCACUAUCUUUUUAAUGGAAGUGAAGAAAAUGCUGUUACAGGGUUAGUUCUAAUAUUCAUUAUGUAAUAGCAAAAUAUAUGGCCACUGAAAUAGUAACACUGCACUCAAAUUUUUCUUGGCUAUUUUGAGGAAGAAUCCAAAAGUAGUGGGGAAAAUACAGAAACCUGCAGCAGCAAAAAGCUGCAGUGCAGAAAGCACUCUCACCUCUCGUUGUUCUGCAGACCACUAGCAGUAUCCACAUUUUUGCCUAGCCAGAUUAAAUCUUUGCCAGCGUGGACUAGUCCAGGUGACAGUAAGUCACCCACCUUUCUCCAUGCUACACAGAAUUCAAAUAGAGUAGUCCACGUGGUAUGAACAUCUGCAACUGGUCCUAAAAUUGCUUUUACUUUUCCUGACUGCAUAACAAUUUCAGCCAUUGCUGGGCUGUCUAAACAGGUGACACUAGAAACAGUUUAGGGCCAAUCUGUUCAGAAUUUUGGAAAUGCUUGAUUUGCCACACUCCUCAUAUAAAUUAUCUGUCUAACAAAAAAAGAGCAGUUAAACAGUGUUAUAUCGUGGGUUUUUGUAACCAUCUGGAAGACCAGGUGGUUGGUAGUCCCAUAACAUUCCCACUAACUAGUACAUGUUGGAGGCCUCAAGGCAUGCUAUAUCCUUUAAGAAUGUGACAGGAACUCCCAAGACAUCAUUACAUAGCCCUCCUCUCAAAGAAGCAAUCCAUUCAUUGAAGAGUUAUUUUCCUUUUGCCGUGUUCACCACCAACAAAGCUGAUGUGAUUUUUGCAUAAAUAAGCACUGCAGCUAUUGGAAGGCUCAUAACAUAUUUAUGCUGUCUUCUUUACUUACCAUGACUCUCAUUUCCAGAUGAAAUCAUUCCAUUAACCUAAAUGGGAUCCAGAGAAAGCCCACAAAAUAUUUUAGUGUAUCUCUUGAUAAUCUAUGAAGUUUUCUAGUAAUGGGCUUCAAUCCCCUUUUUAUACAAACAAGAGUUAAAAAACAAAACCAAAAACUUCUACUCCCCAUAAGAACCCCACCUCUGUUUCUUAUGACAGAUUUUCAAGUAAAAUGUAGUUUCAGCAUUCUGAAUUAGUCAAUAGUAUUCACCCUGGAACACUAUCCAGGACUGGCUGCGAAUUUUCUAUGAAAACUUCUUUUUGACACCUGUGUUUGUUUUAUGAAAAAGCAGAAAUUUUUAUUGAGAAAAAAUACUUAACUUUCCAGUCAGCUUAUAAAUCCUUAUUGUCAGAAAUUGUCAGAUUUAAGUUUUUUGAAUAUUUUUAACCUUUCCUUUCUAAAAUUACUAUUUGUAUAAACAACUAGAGUGCAGCUGGUACUUCAGGAAAAUAUUACUAAGUAAAUAAAGACCAUGUUACUGGAAGGUAACAGGCUAUGAAAUCAGAGCAUUCCCAUUACAUCAUGACAGAUGGUCAAUUCAUAAUUCUACAAAGAUUUCCAUGAAAACGUACGUGAUAUAUCAAUAUCUUAUUGUUCAUCUCAUCAUCUUCACAUGCAUUUGUAUUUAAUUGCCCACUGUGGAACAAUCUGUG